Molecule: long non-coding RNA, 816 nt
Filed under: Carica papaya (papaya)
Lineage: Eukaryota; Viridiplantae; Streptophyta; Magnoliopsida; Brassicales; Caricaceae
Description: long non-coding RNA (CPAP_LNC002277)
Source: RNAcentral
UUUUUAUUUUCAUUCUGCACAUUAUCCACGUUUAAUUUUAGAAUUACAUUUCUAUAAUCUUGCAUCAAUGUUAUAAAGAAACUUGACCGGUUGUAGCAUGUAGCCAACAAAUUGUGGGUAUCAUACAAGGUACACAUGUCGAUUAUAUCCAUUGAGAUUAAUCGAAUCCCUAUGCAUCAGUCUGUCUGGUCAAUCUUUGUGAUCUAUGUUUCUUUCUUUUAUUUUAUAUUUGUUCCUUUAUAAAAUUAAGUGACUAAUCUAUACUAGUUGCUUAACAUAUAAGAGGAACACCAUUUCUUUUUAUGUGUGCUUGUUUAUGAGCUUCAAUAGAAAUCAGGUCUUUUAGGGUUCCUUGUUGUGUCAUAAGGACUAAUGUGUAAACCCAAUUCAAGUGAUUUCGAUUUUGAACACUCAACUUGAUAGACAAAGCUGUCAAUGGAGAGAUUACGAGGUGAACACGAGCGAAGGUAAGGGAGAGAUAUUGUUUUCACUAACUCUUGUCUUUUUAGGAACUCUGCAAUGUCUCAACAAAGCGCCAACAGUUGACUAACCACCAUGGAAGAAAGGGUCCUGGACAUGUUCACCAAGUUAAGUGUCCAAUUAGGAAACAUAGCUACCUACAUGGAUCGCUAAGAGCGCGACAACACUGCAAUUACGCCUGACGCCAAAUAGUGCGAGAUGAAAUAGGAUCUUAUGGCGAUGACGUUGGUGACAGACAUGGAGAUCGUCGCGAAGAGGCGGAUGGGGACCUCCAUGAUUAAAGUUCUAGAUACUAGCCUUUUAAGGAAGAAUGACCCCGACGCCUACCUCGAGUGG